RNAcentral lists this transfer RNA (72 nucleotides) under Camelus bactrianus (Bactrian camel). It matches the Rfam family "tRNA". Rfam says of the family: Transfer RNA (tRNA) molecules are approximately 80 nucleotides in length. Their secondary structure includes four short double-helical elements and three loops (D, anti-codon, and T loops). The record is from Rfam by way of RNAcentral. RNAcentral also lists the same sequence under 3 other names. Lineage: Eukaryota; Metazoa; Chordata; Mammalia; Artiodactyla; Camelidae.
AAGGGUAUAGCUCAGUGGUAGAGUGCCUGCUUAGCAUGCGCAAGGUCCUGGGUUCGAUCCUCAGUACCUCUA